Molecule: transfer RNA, 74 nt
Filed under: Sarcinofilum mucosum
Lineage: Eukaryota; Viridiplantae; Chlorophyta; Ulvophyceae; Ulotrichales; Sarcinofilaceae
Description: tRNA-Phe
Rfam family: tRNA
About the family: Transfer RNA (tRNA) molecules are approximately 80 nucleotides in length.
Source: RNAcentral
GCCGAGUUAGCUCAGAUGGUUAGAGCGCAAGAUUGAAAAUCUUGAUGUCGCCAGUUCGAUUCUGGCACUUGGCA